AUUGAACGCUGGCGGAAUGCUUUACACAUGCAAGUCGAACGGCAGCACGGACUUCGGUCUGGUGGCGAGUGGCGAACGGGUGAGUAAUAUAUCGGAACGUGCCCAGUCGUGGGGGAUAACGUAGCGAAAGUUACGCUAAUACCGCAUACGAUCUACGGAUGAAAGCGGGGGAUCGCAAGACCUCGCGCGAUUGGAGCGGCCGAUAUCAGAUUAGGUAGUUGGUGGGGUAAAGGCUCACCAAGCCAACGAUCUGUAGCUGGUCUGAGAGGACGACCAGCCACACUGGAACUGAGACACGAUCCAGACUCCUACGGGAGGCAGCAGUGGGGAAUUUUGGACAAUGGACGCAAGUCUGAUCCAGCCAUUCCGCGUGCAGGAUGAAGGCCCUCGGGUUGUAAACUGCUUUUGUACAGAACGAAAAGGCUCUUCCUAAUACGGAGGGCUCAUGACGGUACUGUAAGAAUAAGCACCGGCUAACUACGUGCCAGCCGCCGCGGUAA
Molecule: ribosomal RNA, 500 nt
Filed under: uncultured bacterium
Lineage: Bacteria
Description: partial 16S ribosomal RNA
Rfam family: Bacterial small subunit ribosomal RNA
Source: RNAcentral